RNAcentral lists this RNase P RNA (259 nucleotides) under Oenococcus oeni. RNAcentral's name for it is "partial RNase P RNA component class B". It matches the Rfam family "Bacterial RNase P class B", at positions 111 to 365 of the family's 365-position model. From Rfam's summary of the family: Ribonuclease P (RNase P) is a ubiquitous endoribonuclease, found in archaea, bacteria and eukarya as well as chloroplasts and mitochondria. Its best characterised activity is the generation of mature 5'-ends of tRNAs by cleaving the 5'-leader elements of precursor-tRNAs. Cellular RNase Ps are ribonucleoproteins. Lineage: Bacteria; Bacillati; Bacillota; Bacilli; Lactobacillales; Lactobacillaceae. The record is from RNAcentral.
UAUUUAACUGACGGCUAGCGAAAGGACUAAAGCUUAGCCAUGUCUGAUUAACUUAUAAAAGUGCUAUAGCGACGAAUAACCGGGAAACCGGGGAAGUGAGACGACGUAAACCCUGCAAGCGGGCAACCCAAACUUUUUGGUAGGGGCGGUCAAUUUGGCUAAAUGAAGUAAAAAUUGACACCGGUUUUAUCCGGUAGAUAGAUGAUCGUCGAAGAACGUGAUCGCCAAUCUCGUUUGGAACAUAACAUGGCCUAUAGAU